RNAcentral lists this non-coding RNA (114 nucleotides) under chicken gut metagenome. The record is from RNAcentral.
CAGAAUAGGAACGGCGCGUUAGUAAGCGUUGAGUAACUUGCUUACUUAAGUGCCGCGGGAUGGGAGGUCGCCCGCGGACGAAGGGAAACCGCGACGCCGUGUCCGCAUCCGCUG